AUACGGAGGGUGCAAGCGUUAAUCGGAAUUACUGGGCGUAAAGCGCGCGUAGGCGGUUUAGUAAGUCGGAUGUGAAAGCCCUGGGCUCAACCUGGGAAUUGCAUUCGAUACUGCUUGACUAGAGUAUGGUAGAGGGAAGUGGAAUUUCCGGUGUAGCGGUGAAAUGCGUAGAUAUCGGAAGGAACACCAGUGGCGAAGGCGACUUCCUGGGCCAAUACUGACGCUCAGGCACGAAAGCAUGGGGAGCAAACAGGAUUAGAUACCCCAGUAGUCC
RNAcentral lists this ribosomal RNA (274 nucleotides) under uncultured bacterium. RNAcentral describes it as "partial 16S ribosomal RNA". It matches the Rfam family "Bacterial small subunit ribosomal RNA", at positions 523 to 796 of the family's 1533-position model. The record is from RNAcentral.